RNAcentral lists this unclassified non-coding RNA (300 nucleotides) under fungal sp. RNAcentral's name for it is "partial internal transcribed spacer region". The stretch from base 1 to 46 matches the Rfam family "Eukaryotic small subunit ribosomal RNA", at positions 1786 to 1831 of the family's 1831-position model. Lineage: Eukaryota; Fungi. The record is from RNAcentral.
AAGUCGUAACAAGGUUUCCGUAGGUGAACCUGCGGAAGGAUCAUUAUCACGUAUCCACGUAUAAACCAUUGCGAACUGUGUCUACCUUUGGAGGGAACUGUGUGAUGUACUGUAUUUUGUGAUUUAAGCAGUCUUCACAUGCUCUACUGUUCUCUCUGAAGUGUAGUUUUAAAUCACUUUCAUUAACCCUUUAAACCUUAUUCUUUUAAAACUCUGAACUAAUUCAUUUCUUACUCUUCGGAGAAGAAAUAUUAUUACGAAACUAAAGAACAACUCUUAGCAACGGAUAUCUUGGUUCUC